RNAcentral lists this ribosomal RNA (195 nucleotides) under uncultured bacterium. Its description in RNAcentral is "partial 16S ribosomal RNA". It matches the Rfam family "Bacterial small subunit ribosomal RNA", at positions 338 to 524 of the family's 1533-position model. The record is from RNAcentral.
CCUACGGGAGGCAGCAGUGGGGAAUAUUGGACAAUGGGCGAAAGCCUGAUCCAGCCAUGCCGCGUGUGUGAAGAAGGCCUUUUGGUUGUAAAGCACUUUAAGCGAGGAGGAGGCUACUGAGAUUAAUACUCUUGGAUAGUGGACGUUACUCGCAGAAUAAGCACCGGCUAACUCUGUGCCAGCAGCCGCGGUAAU